GCCUUAAACUAAUGAGUAAGGAAAACAAAGCGUUGCGGUGAGAGCCGCUCGCGGUGCGGGACUCAAACCCUGCACGGCAAUUUUUGCGAGGGGAAGAGGCUCGCGCGGGUAUUGACACUGCUUACUUUUGCAGGACUUGCCUGUGUGGGCCUCCCUACCCACAAAAUACCAAAUCUAAAUUUAGCUAUAGUUAAUUAAAUAGAACUCUUUUUAAAAAAAUUCAAAUUUGAUUUGUAAUAAAUUAUAGUAAUAUUUAUAAUAAAAACAAAUAUUGUAUUAAAAUAUGUUUAAUAUAAAAUAAAAUUAAAUUGUAGUACUUCGAUUUAAUGUGAGUUAUUUUAGCAUUUUUUAUAUUCGUAUUACAUUUGUAUUGAUGUUAAUGAAUUUAAAGAGUAUUGAUGUUAAUGAAUUUAAA
This 415-nucleotide small RNA is filed under the name Oryza sativa Japonica Group (Japanese rice). RNAcentral's name for it is "sRNA Os02g0591850". The stretch from base 1 to 156 matches the Rfam family "U12 minor spliceosomal RNA". The record is from RNAcentral. Lineage: Eukaryota; Viridiplantae; Streptophyta; Magnoliopsida; Poales; Poaceae.